This is a non-coding RNA of Camelina sativa (false flax), 347 nucleotides long. The record is from RefSeq and is a predicted model, not a curated record. NCBI's taxonomy places the organism in Eukaryota, Viridiplantae, Streptophyta, Magnoliopsida, Brassicales, Brassicaceae.
CUCCAAGGCUCCAACCCUUCACUUACAGCCUAAUCUACAUAGCUCUCUGUUCAUUAAAUCUCUCUCGCUCCAAUCAAGAGCUCAAGAUUGAAAUCCACUCGAGAUGACCGAAAGGUUGGCCGCAAGAGGGAUCAUGUUAAACAGAAGUAACUGGGAUGACGGACCUGACUAUGAUGACGAAACAAAGAUAUAUGUAGGAGUUGGAGAGAAAGGCAUAUUGUAUAUAUAUGUAUUGUGACUAUGUCAAGAGUGGAAUACAGAAAGAAGGAUCAUUCCGUGGUAUGAUGAAUAGUGGUUGCAGACAGAUGGAUUAAAGGGUGGGGACCAGGGUUCGAGGGACGCCUGAC